RNAcentral lists this ribosomal RNA (468 nucleotides) under uncultured bacterium. Its description in RNAcentral is "partial 16S ribosomal RNA". It matches the Rfam family "Bacterial small subunit ribosomal RNA", at positions 28 to 507 of the family's 1533-position model. The record is from RNAcentral.
GACGAACGCUGGCGGCGUGCUUAACACAUGCAAGUCGAACGGAAAGGCCCUGCUUUUGUGGGGUGCUCGAGUGGCGAACGGGUGAGUAACAAGUGAGUAACCUGCCCUUGACUUUGGGAUAACUUCAGGAAACUGGGGCUAAUACCGGAUAGGAGCUCCUGCUGCAUGGUGGGGGUUGGAAAGUUUCGGCGGUUGGGGAUGGACUCGCGGCUUAUCAGCCUGUUGGUGGGGUAGUGGCUUACCAAGGCUUUGACGGGUAGCCGGCCUGAGAGGGUGACCGGCCACAUUGGGACUGAGAUAAGGCCCAGACUGCUACGGAAGGCAGCAGUGGGGAAUAUUGCAGAAUGGGCGGAAGACUGAUGCAGCAACGCCGCGUGCGGGAUAACGGCCUUCGGGUUGUAAACCUCUUUCGCCUGUGACGAAGCGUGAGUGACAGUAAUGGGUAAAGAAGCACGGGCUAACUACGUG